This 768-nucleotide ribosomal RNA is filed under the name Triticum aestivum (bread wheat). RNAcentral describes it as "partial small subunit ribosomal RNA". The stretch from base 1 to 228 matches the Rfam family "Bacterial large subunit ribosomal RNA", at positions 2560 to 2925 of the family's 2925-position model. The record is from RNAcentral. Lineage: Eukaryota; Viridiplantae; Streptophyta; Magnoliopsida; Poales; Poaceae.
AUGCCGCUUUUGGGCUGUUCGCCCAUUAAUGCGGUACGUGAGCUGGGUUCAGAAUGUCGUGAGACAGUUCGGUCCAUAUCCGGUGUGGGCGUUAGAGCAUUGAGAGGACCUUUCCCUAGUACGAGAGGACCGGGAAGGACGCACCUGGAAGGAGACCCAUCAUUUUGCAAUGAAAACAACAUAUAAAACUCUGGACAAUUUUGAAAUCAGGCCAAGCGUCUUAAUACAUAUGCAAAAAAAUUCAUUAUUGGCCCACCAUUGAUUAGAAGAUUUCAUAGACCUCUUUCCGAUGAAAAAUCUUUUUUGUGUAAUUCCAAAUGUGAAGCAAGUCUCCGACCCAUUCUCCAGUCUCCCGCACUGCUCAAGUGUGCGAGUUCGUAUGAGGACCUCCUUCCCUUUUGCUCUACCCACUCUCCGUUCACACGGUUAUCAAAGCGGAGGAAGGGCGGGCAGCAGGUACCACAAGCCCUCUGUCCCACACAUCUAUCAAGAAGCAAGUGUAGUUCACCGGACUCAUUUCUUUUCGUAGUAGUUGUCCUCGGCAUAGCGCAAACGGAGCAGGUAUGUAGAUUAGUAAUAUUGGUCAUUCUAUUAUCAAAACCCCACACAAAGAUUUACAUCUUAAAAAAGUCUUGCAUAUCCCUACUACUUCACAAAAUUUACUCUCUGUCCAUCGUAUUGCCAUUGACAAUAAAGUUUUCCUUGAAUUUCAUCCCUUUUUCUUUUUAUCAAGGAUCAGAUCACGAGGAGAAUUCUCUAUCGAGGUAG